CAGCCGCCGCGGGAAUACGUAGGGUGCAAGCGUUAAUCGGAAUUACUGGGCGUAAAGCGUGCGCAGGCGGUUCGGAAAGAAAGGUGUGAAAUCCCAGGGCUUAACCUUGGAACUGCACUUUUAACUACCGGGCUAGAGUGUGUCAGAGGGGGGUGGAAUUCCGCGUGUAGCAGUGAAAUGCGUAGAGAUGCGGAGGAACACCGAUGGCGAAGGCAGCCCCCUGGGAUAACACUGACGCUCAUGCACGAAAGCGUGGGGAGCAAACAGGAUUAGAUACCCCGGUAGUCCCUGUCUCUUAUAC
This 301-nucleotide ribosomal RNA is filed under the name uncultured bacterium. RNAcentral describes it as "partial 16S ribosomal RNA". It matches the Rfam family "Bacterial small subunit ribosomal RNA", at positions 509 to 807 of the family's 1533-position model. The record is from RNAcentral.